This 171-nucleotide ribosomal RNA is filed under the name Trechispora sp. Its description in RNAcentral is "partial small subunit ribosomal RNA". It matches the Rfam family "Eukaryotic small subunit ribosomal RNA", at positions 1352 to 1544 of the family's 1831-position model. The record is from RNAcentral. Lineage: Eukaryota; Fungi; Basidiomycota; Agaricomycetes; Trechisporales; Hydnodontaceae.
UAAAUAGCCAGGCCGGCUCCGGCCGGUCGCGGGCUUCUUAGAGGGACUGUCGGCGUCUAGCCGACGGAAGUUUGAGGCAAUAACAGGUCUGUGAUGCCCUUAGAUGUUCUGGGCCGCACGCGCGCUACACUGACAGGGCCAGCGAGUACACGUCCUUGGCCGGAAGGCCCG